This 765-nucleotide ribosomal RNA is filed under the name Micrococcus luteus. RNAcentral describes it as "bacterial SSU rRNA". It matches the Rfam family "Bacterial small subunit ribosomal RNA", at positions 37 to 819 of the family's 1533-position model. Lineage: Bacteria; Bacillati; Actinomycetota; Actinomycetes; Micrococcales; Micrococcaceae. The record is from RNAcentral.
UGGGGGCGUGCUUACCAUGCAGUCGACGAUGAAGCCCAGCUUGCUGGGUGGAUUAGUGGCGAACGGGUGAGUAACACGUGAGUAACCUGCCCUUAACUCUGGGAUAAGCCUGGGAAACUGGGUCUAAUACCGGAUAGGAGCGCCUACCGCAUGGUGGGUGUUGGAAAGAUUUAUCGGUUUUGGAUGGACUCGCGGCCUAUCAGCUUGUUGGUGAGGUAAUGGCUCACCAAGGCGACGACGGGUAGCCGGCCUGAGAGGGUGACCGGCCACACUGGGACUGAGACACGGCCCAGACUCCUACGGGAGGCAGCAGUGGGGAAUAUUGCACAAUGGGCGCAAGCCUGAUGCAGCGACGCCGCGUGAGGGAUGACGGCCUUCGGGUUGUAAACCUCUUUCAGUAGGGAAGAAGCGAAAGUGACGGUACCUGCAGAAGAAGCACCGGCUAACUACGUGCCAGCAGCCGCGGUAAUACGUAGGGUGCGAGCGUUAUCCGGAAUUAUUGGGCGUAAAGAGCUCGUAGGCGGUUUGUCGCGUCUGUCGUGAAAGUCCGGGGCUUAACCCCGGAUCUGCGGUGGGUACGGGCAGACUAGAGUGCAGUAGGGGAGACUGGAAUUCCUGGUGUAGCGGUGGAAUGCGCAGAUAUCAGGAGGAACACCGAUGGCGAAGGCAGGUCUCUGGGCUGUAACUGACGCUGAGGAGCGAAAGCAUGGGGAGCGAACAGGAUUAGAUACCCUGGUAGUCCAUGCCGUAAACGUUGGGCACUAG